GGGGCAGUGGUUUAAUGGUUUAAGGCACUAUAUUGCAGUGCUAGCUGUGCCACUAGAGAUCCUGGUUCGAGUCCAGGCUGUCGCA
This 85-nucleotide transfer RNA is filed under the name Salmo salar (Atlantic salmon). It matches the Rfam family "tRNA". Rfam says of the family: Transfer RNA (tRNA) molecules are approximately 80 nucleotides in length. Their secondary structure includes four short double-helical elements and three loops (D, anti-codon, and T loops). Lineage: Eukaryota; Metazoa; Chordata; Actinopteri; Salmoniformes; Salmonidae. The record is from Rfam by way of RNAcentral. RNAcentral also lists the same sequence under 1 other name.